AUUGAACGCUGGCGGCAGGCCUAACACAUGCAAGUCGAGCGAGCGGCGGACGGGUGAGUAAUGUAUGGGGACUGCCCGAUAGAGGGGGAUAACUACUGGAAACGGUGGCUAAUACCACCUCCUCCCGGUUAACCCAUAUGGGAUUAGCGAGUAGGUGGGGUAAAGGCUCACCUAGGCGACGAUCUCUCGCUGGUCUGAGAGGCUGAUCAGCCACACUGGGACUGAGACACGGCCCAGACGCCUACGGAGGCAGCAGUGGGGAAUAUUGAACAAUGGGCGCAAGCCUGAUGCAGCCAUGCCGCGUGUAUGAAGAAGGCCGUAGGGUUGUAAAGUACUUUCAGCGGGGAGGCGUUACCCGCAGAAGAAGCACCGGCUAACUCCGUGCCAGCAGCCGCGGGAAUUC
Molecule: ribosomal RNA, 403 nt
Filed under: uncultured bacterium
Lineage: Bacteria
Description: partial 16S ribosomal RNA
Rfam family: Bacterial small subunit ribosomal RNA
Source: RNAcentral